UACGUAGGGGGCGAGCGUUGUCCGGAUUUAUUGGGCGUAAAGAGCGUGUAGGCGGCCUGUCAAGUCCGAUGUGAAAUGUUACGGCUUAACCGUGAAUCUGCAUUGGAAACUGACAGGCUAGAGUCUGGAUGAGGAGAAUGGAAUUCCUGGUGUAGCGGUGAAAUGCGCAGAUAUCAGGAGGAACACCGGUGGCGAAGGCGGUUCUCUAGGACAGUACUGACGCUGAGACGCGAAAGCGUGGGGAG
This 245-nucleotide ribosomal RNA is filed under the name uncultured Gaiella sp. RNAcentral's name for it is "partial 16S ribosomal RNA". It matches the Rfam family "Bacterial small subunit ribosomal RNA", at positions 524 to 768 of the family's 1533-position model. Lineage: Bacteria; Bacillati; Actinomycetota; Thermoleophilia; Gaiellales; Gaiellaceae. The record is from RNAcentral.